This 101-nucleotide ribosomal RNA is filed under the name uncultured bacterium. Its description in RNAcentral is "partial 16S ribosomal RNA". It matches the Rfam family "Bacterial small subunit ribosomal RNA", at positions 1384 to 1482 of the family's 1533-position model. The record is from RNAcentral.
UACACACUGCCCGUCACACCAUGGGAGUUGGUUUUACCUUAAGACGGUGUGCUAACCCGCAAGGGAGGCAGCCGGCCACGGUAAGGUCAGCGACUGGGGUG